This 546-nucleotide long non-coding RNA is filed under the name Hordeum vulgare. RNAcentral describes it as "long non-coding RNA (HVUL_LNC001277)". Lineage: Eukaryota; Viridiplantae; Streptophyta; Magnoliopsida; Poales; Poaceae. The record is from RNAcentral.
UAUGGAUCAAACACCGGUAGCCGGAAACUAUGGCGGCAAUAAUGGAACAAAACACCCGGAAAAAGGCCAUGCCUUCCGUUAUUUACGAAGUACAUAGGUGCAUCAAUUAAAUAUCAGAUUUAACAUAAUGAUAUCAAACUCAUGUUAUCACAUGAGACAAAUUCACCUGCAACUAGCAAUGCUGACAUUAGAAGCUGAGAAAGCCUACUUAGCCAUUCAAUAUUUGCUAGGAGGGGAAAGUGUUUUGGUUUCAUGGCAAAUUCAGGAAGCAAUUAUUUCAGUGGCAGACAGCGAACAUAAGACGAAGGAAAUGUGAAUCUAGCAUAACAAGUCUAGAGAUGGAAUCAAGGUCAUAUUGUUGCUGGCUACGCCUAAAGGGAUUUCCUUGGCAAAUAUGCAAAGGAUUCCCCGCGGCCUUGGAGCCUUGCGUUGGUGUUCCCUUGAAGAGGAAAGGGUGAUGUAGCAUAACGGCGGUAAUUAUUUCCCUCAGUUUGAGAACCAAGGUAUCAAUCCAGUAGGAGGAUCGCGUCAAGUCACAAGUACCUG